GGGGCCGUAGCUCAGCUGGGAGAGCGCUGCAAUCGCACUGCAGAGGUCAGGGGUUCGAUCCCCCUCGGCUCCACCA
This 76-nucleotide transfer RNA is filed under the name Alphaproteobacteria bacterium. RNAcentral describes it as "tRNA-Ala". It matches the Rfam family "tRNA". From Rfam's summary of the family: Transfer RNA (tRNA) molecules are approximately 80 nucleotides in length. Their secondary structure includes four short double-helical elements and three loops (D, anti-codon, and T loops). RNAcentral also lists the same sequence under 5 other names. The record is from RNAcentral. Lineage: Bacteria; Pseudomonadati; Pseudomonadota; Alphaproteobacteria.